Molecule: ribosomal RNA, 2929 nt
Filed under: Bacillus velezensis
Lineage: Bacteria; Bacillati; Bacillota; Bacilli; Caryophanales; Bacillaceae
Description: bacterial LSU rRNA
Rfam family: Bacterial large subunit ribosomal RNA
Source: RNAcentral
GGUUAAGUUAGAAAGGGCGCACGGUGGAUGCCUUGGCACUAGGAGCCGAUGAAGGACGGGACGAACACCGAUAUGCUUCGGGGAGCUGUAAGCAAGCUUUGAUCCGGAGAUUUCCGAAUGGGGAAACCCACCACUCGUAAUGGAGUGGUAUCCAUAUCUGAAUACAUAGGAUAUGAGAAGGCAGACCCGGGGAACUGAAACAUCUAAGUACCCGGAGGAAGAGAAAGCAAAUGCGAUUCCCUGAGUAGCGGCGAGCGAAACGGGACCAGCCCAAACCAAGAGGCUUGCCUCUUGGGGUUGUAGGACACUCUGUACGGAGUUACAAAGGAACGAGGUAGAUGAAGAGGUCUGGAAAGGCCCGCCAUAGGAGGUAACAGCCCUGUAGUCAAAACUUCGUUCUCUCCUGAGUGGAUCCUGAGUACGGCGGAACACGUGAAAUUCCGUCGGAAUCCGGGAGGACCAUCUCCCAAGGCUAAAUACUCCCUAGUGACCGAUAGUGAACCAGUACCGUGAGGGAAAGGUGAAAAGCACCCCGGAAGGGGAGUGAAAGAGAUCCUGAAACCGUGUGCCUACAAGUAGUCAGAGCCCGUUAACGGGUGAUGGCGUGCCUUUUGUAGAAUGAACCGGCGAGUUACGAUCCCGUGCAAGGUUAAGCAGAAGAUGCGGAGCCGCAGCGAAAGCGAGUCUGAAUAGGGCGAAUUGAGUACGUGGUCGUAGACCCGAAACCAGGUGAUCUACCCAUGUCCAGGGUGAAGUUCAGGUAACACUGAAUGGAGGCCCGAACCCACGCACGUUGAAAAGUGCGGGGAUGAGGUGUGGGUAGGGGUGAAAUGCCAAUCGAACCUGGAGAUAGCUGGUUCUCUCCGAAAUAGCUUUAGGGCUAGCCUCAAGGUAAGAGUCUCGGAGGUAGAGCACUGAUUGGACUAGGGGCCCCUACCGGGUUACCGAAUUCAGUCAAACUCCGAAUGCCGAUGACUUAUCCUUGGGAGUCAGACUGCGAGUGAUAAGAUCCGUAGUCGAAAGGGAAACAGCCCAGACCGCCAGCUAAGGUCCCAAAGUAUACGUUAAGUGGAAAAGGAUGUGGAGUUGCUUAGACAACCAGGAUGUUGGCUUAGAAGCAGCCACCAUUUAAAGAGUGCGUAAUAGCUCACUGGUCGAGUGACUCUGCGCCGAAAAUGUACCGGGGCUAAACGUAUCACCGAAGCUGCGGACUGUUCUUCGAACAGUGGUAGGAGAGCGUUCUAAGGGCUGUGAAGCAAGACCGGAAGGACUUGUGGAGCGCUUAGAAGUGAGAAUGCCGGUAUGAGUAGCGAAAGAGGGGUGAGAAUCCCCUCCACCGAAUGCCUAAGGUUUCCUGAGGAAGGCUCGUCCGCUCAGGGUUAGUCGGGACCUAAGCCGAGGCCGAAAGGCGUAGGCGAUGGAUAACAGGUUGAUAUUCCUGUACCACCUCCUCACCAUUUGAGCAAUGGGGGGACGCAGGAGGAUAGGGUAAGCGCGGUAUUGGAUAUCCGCGUCCAAGCAGUUAGGCUGGGAAAUAGGCAAAUCCGUUUCCCGUGAAGGCUGAGCUGUGAUGGCGAGCGAAUUAUAGUAGCGAAGUUCCUGAUUCCACACUGCCAAGAAAAGCCUCUAGCGAGGUGAGAGGUGCCCGUACCGCAAACCGACACAGGUAGGCGAGGAGAGAAUCCUAAGGUGAUCGAGAGAACUCUCGUUAAGGAACUCGGCAAAAUGACCCCGUAACUUCGGGAGAAGGGGUGCUCUGUUAGGGUGCAAGCCCGAGAGAGCCGCAGUGAAUAGGCCCAGGCGACUGUUUAGCAAAAACACAGGUCUCUGCGAAGCCGUAAGGCGAAGUAUAGGGGCUGACGCCUGCCCGGUGCUGGAAGGUUAAGAGGAGCGCUUAGCGUAAGCGAAGGUGCGAAUUGAAGCCCCAGUAAACGGCGGCCGUAACUAUAACGGUCCUAAGGUAGCGAAAUUCCUUGUCGGGUAAGUUCCGACCCGCACGAAAGGCGCAACGAUCUGGGCACUGUCUCAACGAGAGACUCGGUGAAAUUAUAGUACCUGUGAAGAUGCAGGUUACCCGCGACAGGACGGAAAGACCCCGUGGAGCUUUACUGCAGCCUGAUAUUGAAUGUUGGUACAGCUUGUACAGGAUAGGUAGGAGCCUUGGAAACCGGAGCGCCAGCUUCGGUGGAGGCAUCGGUGGGAUACUACCCUGGCUGUAUUGACCUUCUAACCCGCCGCCCUUAUCGGGCGGGGAGACAGUGUCAGGUGGGCAGUUUGACUGGGGCGGUCGCCUCCUAAAAGGUAACGGAGGCGCCCAAAGGUUCCCUCAGAAUGGUUGGAAAUCAUUCGCAGAGUGUAAAGGCACAAGGGAGCUUGACUGCGAGACCUACAAGUCGAGCAGGGACGAAAGUCGGGCUUAGUGAUCCGGUGGUUCCGCAUGGAAGGGCCAUCGCUCAACGGAUAAAAGCUACCCCGGGGAUAACAGGCUUAUCUCCCCAAGAGUCCACAUCGACGGGGAGGUUUGGCACCUCGAUGUCGGCUCAUCGCAUCCUGGGGCUGUAGUCGGUCCCAAGGGUUGGGCUGUUCGCCCAUUAAAGCGGUACGCGAGCUGGGUUCAGAACGUCGUGAGACAGUUCGGUCCCUAUCCGUCGCGGGCGCAGGAAAUUUGAGAGGAGCUGUUCUUAGUACGAGAGGACCGGGAUGGACGCACCGCUGGUGUACCAGUUGUUCUGCCAAGGGCAUCGCUGGGUAGCUAUGUGCGGACGGGAUAAGUGCUGAAAGCAUCUAAGCAUGAAGCCCCCCUCAAGAUGAGAUUUCCCAUUCCGCAAGGAAGUAAGAUCCCUGAAAGAUGAUCAGGUUGAUAGGUCUGAGGUGGAAGUGUGGCGACACAUGGAGCUGACAGAUACUAAUCGAUCGAGGACUUAACCAA